Acanthosepion pharaonis is the source of this 113-nucleotide non-coding RNA. The record is from the annotation of a GenBank genome assembly. NCBI's taxonomy places the organism in Eukaryota, Metazoa, Mollusca, Cephalopoda, Sepiida, Sepiidae.
UAUGGCCGUAUCACGUUGAAACACCUAUUCUUGUAAGAUCCCUGAAGUUAAGCAAUGUCAAGCCUGAUCAAUACCUAGAUGGGUGACCGAUUGUGAAUAUCAGGUGCGGUAAG